GACGAACCGUGCGAACGUUGUUCGGAAUCACUGGGCAUAAAGGGCGCGUAGGCGGCUUGUCAAGUCAGUGGUGAAAUCUCGCAGCUUAACUGCGAAACUGCCAUUGAUACUGUAGGACUUGAGUAUAGUUGCUGUGGGCGGAAUAUGACAUGUAGUGGUGAAAUACUUAGAGAUGUCAUAGAACACCGAUUGCGAAGGCAGCUCACAAAACUAUAACUGACACUGAGGCUCGAAAGUGCGGGGAUCAAACAGG
Molecule: ribosomal RNA, 253 nt
Filed under: uncultured bacterium
Lineage: Bacteria
Description: partial 16S ribosomal RNA
Rfam family: Bacterial small subunit ribosomal RNA
Source: RNAcentral